GGGGCCCCCCCCCCGCCACUAGGCUGCUAUGCCAUGCUGCCAGGCGGCAGUGACGCAGUAAGCUGUGUAGGACGGGGUGUGCUGGCAGGGUAUCCUGCAUGGUGAUACACUGCCCUAGAGAGGGGCUUCUGCCAACACAUCCAGGGCCAUUAUCCUGACCCUCCCUGAUCAUCAUGGGCUUUGCCUGAAUAGGGAGGCUCACGCUCAGCCUGGGGUGUCUGCCUGAAGGCAGUGGGCCUUCCAGUUCUUUUCCUUUGGGGUUUUUGCACUAACAAAUUAAUUUUCUAACCUUUCACUCUCAUUCCCUAAAUGAUCUAAAUCCUGAACUAAAGGUUGGCUCCGGCAUUUCUCCAGCCAGACCUUUGGGCCGGGUCAUCAUAACAUGGCUGAAGGCUCUUCCGCAGUCUGACCACUUGGGUUGCUUGCUUGGUCACCCUCCCUGGAUUUCAGAUUAAAGGUCCCAAAGUGCUUUGCUCCCUGGCACCAUGAGGCAUCCACGAAAGAACAGCAGCUCUAAGAUCUUAAUGGAGAAGCUGGGCUUUACAGACCUCCAUCCUCGGCUGAGAAUACGACUUUCCAUAAGUCAUGCUCAUCGGGAUUUCAUUACGAAUGGUGGCCCAGAGCCAAUAUUGAAAUGGGUUUGGCUAGGGUGCAGAAUGACUGCAAAACAAAAUUGAUUCCAAACAUCUGGAAAAAUGAAGAGAAGGGGCGAGGAACUCGCAAGGCGCUGGCUGCAGCUGAUGUGCUUUAGCAGAGAAAGAAUAAUGCCAAUGUCCCCACGCUGGGCCUGGAGAUGCUGACCAAGCUUAAGAACUGCUGAGCACCAGGCAAAGACCAUGCUGCUAUACCUGGCCACCAUACCUGCUUUCCCUGGUCCCCGAGGGACCUAGGCCAGUUGCCUGGAGUUGGCUCCUCCCCACCACCUGCCAAGAGCUCCUUAGUCACUGACCUGUACUCCGCUCCCCAGCCUUUGACGAAGCUCAUACGGAUGGUGCACAUGCGAGUCAACUGGUAGACAGCCUCAAAGCCCUGGUUGACAGACUGGGCCAGGAGGGCAGCAAAUUCCUGGUUGUUGAAGAUCUUCAGGUUGCAGCCUGCCAACCACAGAUAGUCAGAUAAAGCACCCUGGAAAUGCCCAAAUGGCCUGAUUCACACGCCUCAGGUGGCACAUAGUGGUUCCACUCAGUGGCUCCCUGCUCUGUUCAUCCCUAUGCAAGGAGGGGGCUUCCCCAUUCCUACACUUGAUUGGUACACCCUUGCAGGGAGAAGCAUGUACAAGGGACACUAAAGGCUGGCCCACAUCCUCCAGCUGUGGGGAUGUCAAAUGCUAAGAAGGAAGCCUGGAAGUGGACUUGGAUGACGCAGGGAUCUUCUGGAGAGGCUGAGGCAGGACUCUAGGGUUCAGAGAGGCAAGGGACCUGAGCCUAGCUGCCAAUGCCUUAUGGUGUGGUAGCCACCUGGGGACAGGUGCUCCCUCAUCGGUGCAGUGAGGUGGGUAUGGGGCCUACUGCGAGAGUCAGAAGCAUCCUCCACCUGGCUCCUCUGAUGGCCCUGCCUCAUGUUGGGGCUAAGGAAGAGAGCUGGGUCACAUAGUGAUGUCUUGAUUCAAGCUUGGGCCACAGUGACAUCAACAACAAUGUACCCAAUUCUCCAGAAUGCAGCUGGAGAUGGGCACAAAUAACAUGGAAAAUAAACCUUGUUUGAAGUCCUACUGCCCAGGUGCCAGGAGAGCAAGACCCAGAAAAUAAAGGCUAAAGUCCAUGCCCAGGAACUAGAGAACCAGCACAGACCCUAUCAGCUGUGGACUCUGCCCUGCCUCUUCUGGUGAUCCUGUGUCCCCUUUAAAAGGGGGAGGGGGAUUGAUCGUCAGGGCCCUGACAGACUCUAAGCUGACAUGAUACAACCAGAGAUACUCAGCCUUCACCAGGGAGGGAGGUGGAGCAGAAAGGCAGAAGCUAGGAAUACCACCCCUCCACCUCCAUCCCUGCAUGCUCCUGGGAAGGUGGGUAGACCAAAGCACAGACCACACCCACUCCUGGGGCUACAGCCCUAGCUGAGCCAAAAGACUGAACACCAGGCUAGUCAGCCAGCUCUCCACGGCUCAGGCCUACUGUGGCUUCUUCCCAGCUCUUGGACUUGGAGAAGUAAGUGUGGCUCAUUCUGAAUUCUUUCCCUAGCCUUUCUUAGAGCCACAGGGGUUGCUAGAGAGGAAGUGUGAGCUCAGAGAUGUGAACUUUGUAAAUAAAACCACAAAAGCUGCCAGAGCAGAGAUCCAUUCCUGGCUGA
Cricetulus griseus (Chinese hamster) is the source of this 2286-nucleotide non-coding RNA. NCBI's taxonomy places the organism in Eukaryota, Metazoa, Chordata, Mammalia, Rodentia, Cricetidae. The record is from RefSeq and is a predicted model, not a curated record.